This 254-nucleotide ribosomal RNA is filed under the name uncultured bacterium. RNAcentral describes it as "partial 16S ribosomal RNA". It matches the Rfam family "Bacterial small subunit ribosomal RNA", at positions 524 to 776 of the family's 1533-position model. The record is from RNAcentral.
GACGAACCGAGCGAACGUUAUUCGGAAUCACUGGGCUUAAAGGGGCGCGUAGGCGGGCGAUCAAGUCAGGGGUGAAAGCCCCCAGCUCAACUGGGGAAGUGCCUUUGAUACUGGUCGUCUCGAGGGGGAUAGGGGCGUGCGGAACUUCCGGUGGAGCGGUGAAAUGCGUAGAUAUCGGAAGGAACACCGGUGGCGAAAGCGGCGCGUUGGAUCCCUUCUGACGCUGAGGCGCGAAAGCCAGGGGAGCGAACGGG